GGGAAAUGGACUUCCGCAGACGACUUUCAGGAGUAGUUUGCAAACCACCUUAUGCUGCAUUGAGCGGAAACUCUUUUUGUGGUGAACGAUAAGGAAAAGCGAGGGCUUGACUCUUGCAGGU
Bacteroidetes bacterium GWA2_32_17 is the source of this 121-nucleotide non-coding RNA. NCBI's taxonomy places the organism in Bacteria, Pseudomonadati, Bacteroidota. The record is from Rfam.